RNAcentral lists this ribosomal RNA (440 nucleotides) under uncultured bacterium. RNAcentral describes it as "partial 16S ribosomal RNA". It matches the Rfam family "Bacterial small subunit ribosomal RNA", at positions 338 to 795 of the family's 1533-position model. The record is from RNAcentral.
CCUACGGGAGGCUGCAGUGGGGGAUAUUGCACAAUGGGGGGAACCCUGAUGCAGCGACGCCGCGUGUGGGAAGACGGUCCUCUGGAUUGUAAACCACUGUCCCCAGGGACGAAAAUGACGGUACCUGGGGAGGAAGCUCCGGCUAACUACGUGCCAGCAGCCGCGGUAAUACGUAGGGAGCGAGCGUUGUCCGGAAUUACUGGGUGUAAAGGGAGCGUAGGCGGGGAUGCAAGUUGGGUGUCAAAACUACCGGCUAAACUGGUAGUCGCACUCAAAACUGCAGCUCUUGAGUGAAGUAGAGGCAGGCGGAAUGCCUGGUGUAGCGGUGAAAUGCGUAGAGAUUAGGAGGAACACCAGUGGCGAAGGCGGCCUGCUGGGCUUUUACUGACGCUGAGGCUCGAAAGUGUGGGGAGCAAACAGGAUUAGAUACCCUUGUAGUC